GCAGCAGUGGGGAUAUUGCACAAUGGGGGAAACCCUGAUGCAGCCAUGCCGCGUGUGUGAAGAAGGCCUUCGGGUUGUAAAGCACUUUCAGUAGGGAGGAAAGGUAGCAGCUUAAUACGCUGUUGCUGUGACGUUACCUACAGAAGAAGGACCGGCUAACUCCGUGCCAGCAGCCGCGGUAAUACGGAGGGUCCGAGCGUUAAUCGGAAUUACUGGGCGUAAAGCGUGCGCAGGCGGUUUGUUAAGCGAGAUGUGAAAGCCCCGGGCUCAACCUGGGAAUUGCAUUUCGAACUGGCGAACUAGAGUCUUGUAGAGGGGGGUAGAAUUCCAGGUGUAGCGGUGAAAUGCGUAGAGAUCUGGAGGAAUACCGGUGGCGAAGGCGGCCCCCUGGACAAAGACUGACGCUCAGGCACGAAAGCGUGGGGAGCAAACAGGAUUAGAUACCCUGGUAGUCCACGCCGUAAACGAUGUCUACUCGGAGUUUGGUGUCUUGAACACUGGGCUCUCAAGCUAACGCAUUAAGUAGACCGCCUGGGGAGUACGGCCGCAAGGUUAAAACUCAAAUGAAUUGACGGGCC
This 578-nucleotide ribosomal RNA is filed under the name Shewanella sp. RNAcentral's name for it is "bacterial SSU rRNA". It matches the Rfam family "Bacterial small subunit ribosomal RNA", at positions 348 to 919 of the family's 1533-position model. Lineage: Bacteria; Pseudomonadati; Pseudomonadota; Gammaproteobacteria; Alteromonadales; Shewanellaceae. The record is from RNAcentral.